GGUGAAUGACCAGAAACAGAACCGAAAGCUCUGUAAAGUGCUCUCGAGGUUACAAAGCAAGUUUCACAGGAGCAGUUUCAUCUCACAUAGGCAGCCCUCUGAGCUGGGUAGUUACUGCUUUACAGAUGAGGAAACCGAGGCCCGGGAGAGGGCGGGUCCUCAGCAAAUCAAGAAAAAACUGAGACUAGGACCUAACGGAAGUCCAGGCUAUGAAUGGCCCCCGUAGGGUUAAAAGAGCUUUCUAGAAAUUUCUUUGAAAACUAUUGUAAAGUGACAUAUUUCCUCAGGAUGUCUGUCACGCCAGCAGUGGGAGCCAACACACCAACUCUCAGAGGCUGUUCCCCCUGCGCGGCAGAUCCAGACGCUCAGCUCCCAGGCCUGGAGGCUGGCGGCUUAGCCCAGGGCACAGGAGGAGGCUGCCUGGGUUUGGCGCUGACUUACAGCAGGUGCUGAGGGAAUGCUGAGGAGAGGCAAGGCUGAUUCAAGAGGCCGACAACAGAGAACAUUCCUAGAGCUCUCCCACCAGCUGGGCAUGGUGCUAAGUGCAUUACCUGCGUUCACUCAUAACAUCCUCACAACACUGUGAAUACGAUGACCAUCCCCAUGUACAGGCGUGGACGCUAAGGCUCAGAGCAAUAAAUAAUUAGCCUGAGAUCACA
Molecule: long non-coding RNA, 659 nt
Filed under: Pan troglodytes (chimpanzee)
Lineage: Eukaryota; Metazoa; Chordata; Mammalia; Primates; Hominidae
Description: lincRNA
Source: RNAcentral